CCCCCCCGAAUUGUAGUCUAGAAAGGCGCCAUCGGCCGCGCCCGCCGCUCAAAUCCCUUGGAACAGGGUAUCGGAGAAGGUGAGAAUCCUGUACCGUGGCGGUCCGCGGCCGCACGAUGCGCCCUUGCAGAGUCGGGUUGCUUGGGAUUGCAGCUUGAAGUGGGUGGUAAAUUCCAUCUAAAGCUAAAUAUUGGCUCAUGACCGAUAGCGAACAAGUACCGUGAGGGAAAGAUGCAAAGAACUUUGAAAAGAGAGUUAAAGAGUGCUUGAAAUCGGCGAGAGGAAACCCGGUUGUGCCCGGUUUCGCGCCGUCGACUCAGCCGUCUCGAAGCGGUGCAUUUUGUCGGCGCGGGUCCUACGCGACUGCUGACUCGUUAUAACCACUCGGGGGGCCUUUGGUGAGCCGAGAUAUGACGCGUUGGUGGUCUCGUCGGACAUAACGGGCACAACCGACCCGUCUAGAAACACGGACCAAGGAGUCUGACACGGAUGCGAGUACCCGGGUGGCAAGCCCGCGUGCGCAAUGAAAGUAAAGGGCGUGCCCCGCCAACCGACCUUGAUCUUCUGUGAAGGGUUUGAGUCGAGCAUCACUGUCGGGACCCGAAAGAUGGUGAACUAUGCCUGAGGAGGUUGAAGUCUGCCGAAAGGCAGAUGGAGGGCCGUAGCGAUACUGACGUGCAAAUCGUUCGUCGAACUUGGGUAUAGGGGCGAAAGACUAAUCGAACCAUCUAGUAGCUGGUUCCCUCCGAAGUUUCCCUCAGGAUAGCUUGGACGCAAGGGUUUUGU
Molecule: ribosomal RNA, 786 nt
Filed under: Haptophyta environmental samples
Lineage: Eukaryota; Haptophyta
Description: eukaryotic LSU rRNA
Rfam family: Eukaryotic large subunit ribosomal RNA
Source: RNAcentral